AACCAUUCUCACCUGCGGCUAGACCUGCGGAAGGAUCAUUACCGAGUUUACAACUCCCAAACCCCUGUGAACAUACCUAUACGUUGCCUCGGCGGAUCAGCCCGCGCCCCGUAAAAAGGGACGGCCCGCCCGAGGACCCCUAAACUCUGUUUUUAGUGGAACUUCUGAGUAAAACAAACAAAUAAAUCAAAACUUUUAGCAAUGGAUCU
Molecule: unclassified non-coding RNA, 209 nt
Filed under: soil metagenome
Description: partial contains 5.8S ribosomal RNA, internal transcribed spacer 2, and large subunit ribosomal RNA
Source: RNAcentral